This 253-nucleotide ribosomal RNA is filed under the name uncultured bacterium. RNAcentral describes it as "partial 16S ribosomal RNA". It matches the Rfam family "Bacterial small subunit ribosomal RNA", at positions 524 to 776 of the family's 1533-position model. The record is from RNAcentral.
UACGAAGGGUGCAAGCGUUACUCGGAAUUACUGGGCGUAAAGCGUGCGUAGGUGGUGAGUUAAGUCUGUCGUGAAAGCCCCGGGCUCAACCUGGGAAUGGCGAUGGAUACUGGCUCGCUAGAGUGCGGUAGAGGAGAGUGGAAUUCCCGGUGUAGCAGUGAAAUGCGUAGAGAUCGGGAGGAACAUCAGUUGCGAAGGCGGCUCUCUGGGCCAGCACUGACACUGAGGCACGAAAGCGUGGGGAGCAAACAGG